RNAcentral lists this ribosomal RNA (253 nucleotides) under uncultured prokaryote. Its description in RNAcentral is "partial 16S ribosomal RNA". It matches the Rfam family "Bacterial small subunit ribosomal RNA", at positions 525 to 777 of the family's 1533-position model. The record is from RNAcentral.
ACGAAUGGGGCAAGCGUUGUUCGGAAUCACUGGGCGUAAAGCGUAUGUAGGCGGUCUAUCAAGUCAGGAGUGAAAUCCCAGGGCUCAACCCUGGAAUUGCUCUUGAAACUGAUAAGCUAGAGUACUGGAGAGGUUAGCAGAAUUCCGAGUGUAGAGGUGAAAUUCGCAGAUAUUCGGAGGAACACCAGUGGCGAAGGCGACUUACUGGACACAUAUUGACGCUGAGGUGCGAAAGCGUGGGGAGCAAACAGGA